Molecule: ribosomal RNA, 492 nt
Filed under: uncultured bacterium
Lineage: Bacteria
Description: partial 16S ribosomal RNA
Rfam family: Bacterial small subunit ribosomal RNA
Source: RNAcentral
AGUGAACGCUGGCGGUAGGCCUAACACAUGCAAGUCGAACGGCAGCACAGUAAGAGCUUGCUCUUACGGGUGGCGAGUGGCGGACGGGUGAGGAAUACAUCGGAAUCUACUUUUUCGUGGGGGAUAACGUAGGGAAACUUACGCUAAUACCGCAUACGACCUACGGGUGAAAGCAGGGGAUCUUCGGACCUUGCGCGAUUGAAUGAGCCGAUGUCGGAUUAGCUAGUUGGCGGGGUAAAGGCCCACCAAGGCGACGAUCCGUAGCUGGUCUGAGAGGAUGAUCAGCCACACGGGAACUGAGACACGGUCCAGACUCCUACGGGAGGCAGCAGUGGGGAAUAUUGGACAAUGGGCGCAAGCCUGAUCCAGCCAUACCGCGUGGGUGAAGAAGGCCUUCGGGUUGUAAAGCCCUUUUGUUGGGAAAGAAAAGCAGCAGGUUAAUACCCCGCUGUUCUGACGGUACCCAAAGAAUAAGCGCCGGCUAACUUCGUG